Molecule: ribosomal RNA, 789 nt
Filed under: Enterococcus pseudoavium
Lineage: Bacteria; Bacillati; Bacillota; Bacilli; Lactobacillales; Enterococcaceae
Description: bacterial SSU rRNA
Rfam family: Bacterial small subunit ribosomal RNA
Source: RNAcentral
GACGAACGCUGGCGGCGUGCCUAAUACAUGCAAGUCGAACGCUUUUUCUUUCACCGGAGCUUGCUCCACCGAAAGAAAAAGAGUGGCGAACGGGUGAGUAACACGUGGGUAACCUGCCCAUCAGAAGGGGAUAACACUUGGAAACAGGUGCUAAUACCGUAUAACAAGUAAAACCGCAUGGUUUUACUUUGAAAGGCGCUUUUGCGUCACUGAUGGAUGGACCCGCGGUGCAUUAGCUAGUUGGUGAGGUAACGGCUCACCAAGGCAACGAUGCAUAGCCGACCUGAGAGGGUGAUCGGCCACAUUGGGACUGAGACACGGCCCAAACUCCUACGGGAGGCAGCAGUAGGGAAUCUUCGGCAAUGGACGAAAGUCUGACCGAGCAACGCCGCGUGAGUGAAGAAGGUUUUCGGAUCGUAAAACUCUGUUGUUAGAGAAGAACAAGGAUGAGAGUAAAAUGUUCAUCCCUUGACGGUAUCUAACCAGAAAGCCACGGCUAACUACGUGCCAGCAGCCGCGGUAAUACGUAGGUGGCAAGCGUUGUCCGGAUUUAUUGGGCGUAAAGCGAGCGCAGGCGGUUUCUUAAGUCUGAUGUGAAAGCCCCCGGCUCAACCGGGGAGGGUCAUUGGAAACUGGGAAACUUGAGUGCAGAAGAGGAGAGUGGAAUUCCAUGUGUAGCGGUGAAAUGCGUAGAUAUAUGGAGGAACACCAGUGGCGAAGGCGGCUCUCUGGUCUGUAACUGACGCUGAGGCUCGAAAGCGUGGGGAGCAAACAGGAUUAGAUACCCUG